UCAAGGCAGGCCUGCAGAGGCUGUGGCCGGCAGGACCUUGCUCCAAGACACCCUCCGUGAAGCUUCAAAAAUUAGAAAAUGGAUUUAAAAAUAAAAGGAGCUUAGCCUUCCCUCCCUCCCCGCUUGUCUUUUCUAAGCAUAUAGGCUUCACAUUUGUAAGCUUCACUCUGCCACUUCUAGCAAGAGCUAAAAAUGUACUAGAAAAAAAGCUGAAGUUCUCACAAUACCAUGUUUUGGGACUCAGAGCUAUGAGAAUGGCCAAACACCGGGAGAUCUGUGACAAAGCUGAGAACAUCCUUUAUACGUGGAGGCAGCCUCCGCGCGCUCAUGCAAGUGCAGCGUACAGACAAGUUUUUAAACGGGACCAUCUUCCUUGUGAGCGCCUGGAGAACAGCAUCGCGGCGUGCAUCUCACUGCUGAAACGUCCUCAGAAGCUCUGCACUUUUUCUGUCUAGUGGAAGCACUCAGAAAGCUUCUCUUAUCUCCCUAAACACAAGAAGAAACACUCACUGCCUGGAAGGGUACACUAGGGAUGUUCAAAACUGGCAAAAGAAAAUGAUCACAUUCAAACAGCUAAUUCAUGGAAAAAGUUGUGGUACACUUAACUACACUAGUGCAGUUUUUUCUGAAGUAUCUGCAGUAGUGAAAGUCAUUAUAUUGGCUUUAUUUAUACCACUUCUAUAUGGAAAGACUAUAAGACUGUCUCUUAA
Molecule: long non-coding RNA, 710 nt
Organism: Dromaius novaehollandiae (emu)
Lineage: Eukaryota; Metazoa; Chordata; Aves; Casuariiformes; Dromaiidae
Exons: 2
Source: RefSeq, a predicted model, not a curated record